UACAGAGGUGGCAAGCGUUGUUCGGAAUUACUGGGCGUAAAGGGCGCGUAGGCGGCCAUCUAAGUCAGACGUGAAAUCCCCCGGCUUAGCCUGGGAACUGCGUCUGAUACUGGACGGCUUGAGUAUGGGAGAGGGAUGUAGAAUUCCAGGUGUAGCGGUGAAAUGCGUAGAUAUCUGGAGGAAUACCGGUGGCGAAGGCGGCAUCCUGGACCAUUACUGACGCUGAGGCGCGAAAGCUAGGGGAGCAAACGGG
RNAcentral lists this ribosomal RNA (253 nucleotides) under uncultured bacterium. RNAcentral describes it as "partial 16S ribosomal RNA". It matches the Rfam family "Bacterial small subunit ribosomal RNA", at positions 524 to 776 of the family's 1533-position model. The record is from RNAcentral.